GCAUUGUUGGUGUAAUGGUAACAUUCAACCCUUCCAAGGUUGAGCCCGGGGUUCGAUUCCCCGACAAUGCA
Molecule: non-coding RNA, 71 nt
Organism: Xylariaceae sp. FL0804
Lineage: Eukaryota; Fungi; Ascomycota; Sordariomycetes; Xylariales; Xylariaceae
Source: the annotation of a GenBank genome assembly